Molecule: non-coding RNA, 211 nt
Organism: Pelobates cultripes (western spadefoot toad)
Lineage: Eukaryota; Metazoa; Chordata; Amphibia; Anura; Pelobatidae
Source: the annotation of a GenBank genome assembly
GCCGUCGGUGCCGCAUGUCUGCACUCUGCUGCUGCAGUGUUUUUUCCUGGGGUAGUGUUUUGAGUUUCGGAGUUCCGUGGCCCAGGCCAUAUCCGUGGGUGGGGAUAUGUGCUGUAGUCUCCUGGAUAGUGGGAUCGAUUCCUGCAAAGGAACGUCGGUUGCCCCUGACUGCGGUUUGGGACAUCAGGCAGGAGGUGUCAGAGGUUUUGAG